AGCUUGCUGCUUUGCUGACGAGUGGCGGACGGGUGAGUAAUGUCUGGGAAACUGCCUGAUGGAGGGGGAUAACUACUGGAAACGGUAGCUAAUACCGCAUAACGUCGCAAGACCAAAGAGGGGGACCUUCGGGCCUCUUGCCAUCAGAUGUGCCCAGAUGGGAUUAGCUAGUAGGUGGGGUAACGGCUCACCAAGGCAACGAUGCAUAGCCGACCUGAGAGGGUGAUCGGCCACAUUGGGACUGAGACACGGCCCAAACUCC
RNAcentral lists this ribosomal RNA (262 nucleotides) under uncultured Enterobacteriaceae bacterium. Its description in RNAcentral is "partial 16S ribosomal RNA". It matches the Rfam family "Bacterial small subunit ribosomal RNA", at positions 77 to 339 of the family's 1533-position model. Lineage: Bacteria; Pseudomonadati; Pseudomonadota; Gammaproteobacteria; Enterobacterales; Enterobacteriaceae. The record is from RNAcentral.